ACUCAAAUGAAUUGACGGGGGCCCGCACAAGCAGCGGAGCAUGUGGUUUAAUUCGACGCGACGCGAAGAACCUUACCUGGGCUUGACAUGUUUCUGACCACCGUGGAAACACGGUUUCUCUUCGGAGCAGAAUCACAGGUGGUGCAUGGCUGUCGUCAGCUCGUGUCGUGAGAUGUUGGGUUAAGUCCCGCAACGAGCGCAACCCCCGUCGCAUGUUGCCAGCAUUAAGUUGGGGACUCAUGCGAGACUGCCGGUGACAAACCGGAGGAAGGUGGGGAUGACGUCAAGUCAUCAUGCCCCUUAUGUCCAGGGCUACACACGUGCUACAUUGGCGCAUACAGAGGGCUGCAAGACCGUGAGGUGGAGCGAAUCCCUUAAAGUGCGUCUCGGUUCGGAUUGUAGGCUGAAACUCGCCUACAUGAAGGUGGAGUUGCUAGUAAUCGCGGAUCAGCAUUGCCGCGGUGAAUACGUUCCCGGGCCUUGCACACACCGCCCGU
RNAcentral lists this ribosomal RNA (497 nucleotides) under uncultured bacterium. RNAcentral describes it as "partial 16S ribosomal RNA". It matches the Rfam family "Bacterial small subunit ribosomal RNA", at positions 899 to 1397 of the family's 1533-position model. The record is from RNAcentral.